Molecule: transfer RNA, 65 nt
Filed under: Conus nobilis
Lineage: Eukaryota; Metazoa; Mollusca; Gastropoda; Neogastropoda; Conidae
Description: tRNA-Ser
Source: RNAcentral
GGUUGUUCCCUGGGGGCAAUUUGUCUUGAAAAUAAAUUAAAAGUGUUCGAUUCACUUCACAACCU